GAUGAACGCUGGCGGCGUGCCUAAUACAUGCAAGUCGAGCGAACGGACGCGGAGCUUGCUUUUCUGAUGUUAGCCGCGGGCGGGUGAGUAACGCGUGGAUAACCUACCUAUCAGACUGAGAUAACUUCGAAAAACCGGCGCUAAUCCCGGAUAAUAUUUUGCACCGCGUUGUUCAAUGGUGAGAGACGGUCUUGCUGUCUCGUAUAGAUGGAUCCGCGCUGCAUUAGCUGGUUGGUAAGGUAAAGGCUUACCAAGGCAACGAUGCAUAGCCGACCUGAGAGGGGGAUAGGCGACAUUGGAAGUGAGACACGGUCCAGACUACUACGGGAGGCAGCAGUAGGGAACCUUACGCAAUGGGCGAAAGCCUGACGGAGCAACGGCGCGUGAGUGAUGAAGGUGUUCGGAGCGUAAAACUGUGUUAUUAGGGAAGAACAUAUGUGGCAGGAACUGUGCACAUCUUGACGGUAACUAAUCAGAAAGCCACGGCUAACUACGUG
RNAcentral lists this ribosomal RNA (497 nucleotides) under uncultured bacterium. RNAcentral's name for it is "partial 16S ribosomal RNA". It matches the Rfam family "Bacterial small subunit ribosomal RNA", at positions 28 to 507 of the family's 1533-position model. The record is from RNAcentral.